This 519-nucleotide ribosomal RNA is filed under the name Papiliotrema rajasthanensis. RNAcentral's name for it is "LSU rRNA". It matches the Rfam family "Eukaryotic large subunit ribosomal RNA", at positions 63 to 588 of the family's 3401-position model. The record is from RNAcentral. Lineage: Eukaryota; Fungi; Basidiomycota; Tremellomycetes; Tremellales; Rhynchogastremaceae.
AACUAACAAGGAUUCCCCUAGUAACGGCGAGUGAACCGGGAAGAGCUCAAAUUUGAAAUCUGGCGUCCUCAGGGCGUCCGAGUUGUAAUCUAUAGAGGCGUUUUCCGUGCCGGACCGUGUCCAAGUUCCUUGGAACAGGAUAUCAAAGAGGGUGACAAUCCCGUACUUGACACGAUGACCGGUGCUCUGUGAUACGUCUUCUACGAGUCGAGUUGUUUGGGAAUGCAGCUCAAAAUGGGUGGUGAGUUCCAUCUAAAGCUAAAUAUUGGCGAGAGACCGAUAGCGAACAAGUACCGUGAGGGAAAGAUGAAAAGCACUUUGGAAAGAGAGUUAAACAGUACGUGAAAUUGUUGAAAGGGAAACGAUUGAAGUCAGUCGUGACUGAGAGGCUCAGCCGGUUCUGCCGGUGUAUUCCCCUCAGUCGGGUCAACAUCAGUUUUGUCCGGUGGAAAAGGGCGGUAGGAACGUGGCACCUCCGGGUGUGUUAUAGCCUGCCGUCGCAUACAUCGGGUGAGACUG